CAGAGCCCCGGGGAGAGGGACCGGGGAACUGGGACCUCAGCCCAGUUUCCCCUGCUCCCACAGACCCACUCCAGUGGAAGCCCCAGCCCUCGGCAGCCACUUGUCAGGGGCAGCUCAGCCUCGGGGCAGGAGAGGUGCCCGACCCGGGGGGACCAGUGGGAAAGCAAGAAGAAGACGAGAAAGGAAACGUCAAUCAGCCCAAGGAGAAGGAUAUUCAUGGCCCUGGUUUUCUCGGAUCAUCUUUUCCACAACUUAAAGCAACGCCACGCAAACCCUGGGGUUGCUGAUAUUUCAGAAGCCUGCGUUUGAUUUCCUCUACUUUUGUUUAACUGCAACAUCAAAGUGCCGAACUUGACCUUCCUAUUCCUCCUGGAAUCGGAUGAACGCCACACACAUUCAGAUGCACAGCCAGACGGAGCAUUCAAAGCAGGGUCCGUGUUCGCUCCCGUCCCUCUCCUUGAUCCUGAGCUCAGAGUGAGGCUGUCCCCAGAACUGCCGUCGGCCGGGGGUGGGGGGGACUCCAGUUUCACAAGCGCACUGCGUGGUCGUCGCGAGGCCUUUGGAGUAGCAUCGUGGAUAAAUUGAAAACGGCACAUGAAACAGCUCUGUGCUGUUCAAAGGGAGAGGGUGUCUCUAAUGAGCUUUUGAAAGGAAGUGCAGCCUCGCCCAGGGCCAAGGCGCGCAGUGCCCCCCGGGUUCUGCUCAGGCCUGAGGUUGCUGAUCUCUGACGCCACCCGGGUUCCCGUUGGUUCUCAGGAGCCAGGAUGGGCUGUGGGGGGUGGGGUGGGGGGUGGCUGCCCCAGCAGGAAGCAAAGCCCCCCGUCUCCAGUUCUCUCCCC
RNAcentral lists this long non-coding RNA (839 nucleotides) under Marmota monax (woodchuck). Lineage: Eukaryota; Metazoa; Chordata; Mammalia; Rodentia; Sciuridae. The record is from RNAcentral.